UACGUAGGUCUCAAGCGUUAUCCGGAUUUAUUGGGCGUAAAGGGUCCGCAGGCGGAUUAUUAAGUCUGAUAUUAAAGGUCACGGCUCAACCGUGAAUCUGUAUUAGAAACUGAUAGUCUUGAGAGCAGGAGAGGUAGAUGGAACUCAUGGUGUAGGGGUAAAAUCCGUUGAUAUCAUGAGGAACACCGAAAGCGAAGGCAGUCUACUGGCCUGACUCUGACGCUCAGGGACGAAAGCGUGGGGAGCGACCGGG
RNAcentral lists this ribosomal RNA (253 nucleotides) under uncultured bacterium. RNAcentral's name for it is "partial 16S ribosomal RNA". It matches the Rfam family "Bacterial small subunit ribosomal RNA", at positions 524 to 776 of the family's 1533-position model. The record is from RNAcentral.